This 339-nucleotide ribosomal RNA is filed under the name uncultured bacterium. RNAcentral describes it as "bacterial SSU rRNA". It matches the Rfam family "Bacterial small subunit ribosomal RNA", at positions 35 to 377 of the family's 1533-position model. The record is from RNAcentral.
UGCUGGCGGUAGGCUACACAUGCUAAUCGAGGGGUAACAGGAGAUAGCUUGCUAUCUUGCUGACGACCGGCGAACGGGUGAGUAACGCGUAGGAAUCUGCCUCAAAGCAGGGGAUAGCCCGGGGAAACUCGGAUUAAUACCGUAUAUAUUCUAAGGAAUAAAGAUGCCUUUUGGUGUCGCUUUGAGAUGAGCCUGCGUCCGAUUAGCUUGUUGGUAAGGUAAAAGCUUACCAAGGCGACGAUCGGUAGCUGGUCUGAGAGGACGUACAGCCACACUGGGACUGAGACACGGCCCAGACUCCUACGGGAGGCAGCAGUGGGGAAUAUUGCGCAAUGGGGG